RNAcentral lists this ribosomal RNA (460 nucleotides) under uncultured bacterium. RNAcentral describes it as "partial 16S ribosomal RNA". It matches the Rfam family "Bacterial small subunit ribosomal RNA", at positions 338 to 795 of the family's 1533-position model. The record is from RNAcentral.
CCUACGGGAGGCUGCAGUGAGGAAUAUUGGUCAAUGGACGAGAGUCUGAACCAGCCAAGUAGCGUGAAGGAUGACUGCCCUAUGGGUUGUAAACUUCUUUUAUAUGGGAAUAAAAUGUUCCACGUGUGGGAUUUUGUAUGUACCAUAUGAAUAAGGCUCGGCUAAAUCCGUGCCAACAGCCGCGGGAAUACGGAGGGUCCGAGCGUUUUCCGGAUUUUUUUGGUUUAAAGGGGUCGGAGGUGGAUUGGUAAGGCCGUUGUGAAAGUUUGCGGGUCAACCGUAAAAUUGCAGUUGAAACUGGCAGUCUUGAGUACAGUAGAGGUGGGCGGAAUGCGUGGUGUAGCGGUGAAAUGCUUAGAUAUCACGAAGAACUCCGAUUGCGAAGGCAGCUCACUGGACUGCAACUGACACUGAGGCUCGAAAGUGUGGGUAUCAAACAGGAUUAGAUACCCCUGUAGUC